Molecule: ribosomal RNA, 440 nt
Filed under: uncultured bacterium
Lineage: Bacteria
Description: bacterial SSU rRNA
Rfam family: Bacterial small subunit ribosomal RNA
Source: RNAcentral
CCUACGGGUGGCUGCAGUCGAGAAUCUUCGGCAAUGCGCGCAAGCGUGACCGAGCGACGCCGCGUGCGGGAUGAAGGCCUUCGGGUUGUAAACCGCUGUCAGUGGGGAGGAAAUCGAUCGGGGUUCUCCCCGGUCGUUGACCUAUCCGCAGAGGAAGUACGGGCUAAGUUCGUGCCAGCAGCCGCGGUAAUACGAACCGUACGAACGUUAUUCGGAAUUAUUGGGCUUAAAGGGUACGUAGGCGGCGCUGUUAGUCGGGUGUGAAAGCCCUCGGCUCAACCGAGGAAUUGCGCCCGAUACUGCAGUGCUUGAGGGAGACAGAGGUAAGCGGAACUGAUGGUGGAGCGGUGAAAUGCGUUGAUAUCAUCAGGAACACCGGUGGCGAAAGCGGCUUACUGGGUCUCUUCUGACGCUGAGGUACGAAAGCUAGGGGAGCGAAG